RNAcentral lists this transfer RNA (88 nucleotides) under Bacteroidota bacterium. RNAcentral describes it as "Bacteroidetes bacterium (groundwater metagenome) tRNA-Ser". It matches the Rfam family "tRNA". From Rfam's summary of the family: Transfer RNA (tRNA) molecules are approximately 80 nucleotides in length. Lineage: Bacteria; Pseudomonadati; Bacteroidota. The record is from RNAcentral.
GGAGAGAUGUCCGAGUGGCUUAAGGAGCUCGCUUGGAAAGCGUGUGUGCCUCAAAAGGGUACCGUGGGUUCGAAUCCCACUCUCUCCG